RNAcentral lists this microRNA (21 nucleotides) under Macaca mulatta (Rhesus monkey). The record is from RNAcentral. RNAcentral also lists the same sequence under 6 other names. Lineage: Eukaryota; Metazoa; Chordata; Mammalia; Primates; Cercopithecidae.
UUUUGCACCUUUUGGAGUGAA